Molecule: ribosomal RNA, 477 nt
Filed under: uncultured bacterium
Lineage: Bacteria
Description: partial 16S ribosomal RNA
Rfam family: Bacterial small subunit ribosomal RNA
Source: RNAcentral
GAUUAACGCUGGCGGCGUGCAUAACACAUGCAAGUCGAACGAUGAAACUUAACUGAUUUCUUCGGAAUGAUUUUAAGUGGAUUAGUGGCGGACGGGUGAGUAACGCGUGAGUAACCUGCCUUGGAGAAGGGGAUAGCCUUUGGAAACGAAGAAUAAUACCCUAUGAUAUGAUAAUAACUCAUGAUAUUAUCAUCAAAGAUUUAUCGCUCUAAGAUGGACUUGCGUCUGAUUAGUUAGUUGGUGAGGUAACAGCUCACCAAGGCAGCGAUCAGUAGCCGGCUUGAGAGAGUGUACGGCCACAUUGGGACUGAGACACGGCCCAGACUCCUACGGGAGGCAGCAGUGGGGAAUUUUGCACAAUGGGGGAAACCCUGAUGCAGCGACGCCGCGUGAUUUAGAAGGCCUUCGGGUUGUAAAAAUCUUUUGUAUGGGAAGAAAAUGACAGUACCAUACGAAUAAGGACCGGCUAAUUACGUG